UACGGGGGGGGUAAGCGUUGUUCGGAAUUACUGGGCGUAAAGGGCUCGUAGGCGGCCAACUAAGUCAGACGUGAAAUCCCUCAGCUUAACUGGGGAACUGCGUCUGAUACUGGAUGGCUUGGAUCCGGGAGAGGGAUGCGGAAUUCCAGGUGUAGCGGUGAAAUGCGCAGAUAUCAGGAGGAACACCGAUGGCGAAGGCAGGUCUCUGGGCAUUAACUGACGCUGAGGAGCGAAAGCAUGGGGAGCGAACAGG
RNAcentral lists this ribosomal RNA (253 nucleotides) under uncultured bacterium. RNAcentral's name for it is "partial 16S ribosomal RNA". It matches the Rfam family "Bacterial small subunit ribosomal RNA", at positions 524 to 776 of the family's 1533-position model. The record is from RNAcentral.